AGUGAACGCUGGCGGUAGGCCUAACACAUGCAAGUCGAACGGCAGCACAGUAAGAGCUUGCUCUUACGGGUGGCGAGUGGCGGACGGGUGAGGAAUACAUCGGAAUCUACUUUUUCGUGGGGGAUAACGUAGGGAAACUUACGCUAAUACCGCAUACGACCUACGGGUGAAAGCAGGGGAUCUUCGGACCUUGCGCGAUUGAAUGAGCCGAUGUCGGAUUAGCUAGUUGGCGGGGUAAAGGCCCACCAUGGCGACGAUCCGUAGCUGGUCUGAGAGGAUGGUCAGCCACACUGGAACUGAGACACGGUCCAGACUCCUACGGAAGGCAGCAGUGGGGAAUAUUGGACAAUGGGCGCAAGCCUGAUCCAGCCAUACCGCGUGGGUGAAGAAGGCCUUCGGGUUGUAAAGCCCUUUUGUUGGGAAAGAAAAGCAGCAGGUUAAUACCCCGCUGUUCUGACGGUACCCAAAGAAUAAGCACCGGCUAACUUCGU
RNAcentral lists this ribosomal RNA (491 nucleotides) under uncultured bacterium. RNAcentral's name for it is "partial 16S ribosomal RNA". It matches the Rfam family "Bacterial small subunit ribosomal RNA", at positions 29 to 506 of the family's 1533-position model. The record is from RNAcentral.